This 818-nucleotide ribosomal RNA is filed under the name Staphylococcus sp. Its description in RNAcentral is "bacterial SSU rRNA". It matches the Rfam family "Bacterial small subunit ribosomal RNA", at positions 79 to 881 of the family's 1533-position model. Lineage: Bacteria; Bacillati; Bacillota; Bacilli; Caryophanales; Staphylococcaceae. The record is from RNAcentral.
CUUGCUCCUUUGACGUUAGCGGCGGACGGGUGAGUAACACGUGGAUAACCUACCUAUAAGACUGGGAUAACUUCGGGAAACCGGAGCUAAUACCGGAUAAGAUUUUGAACCGCAUGGUUCAAUAGUGAAAGACGGCCUUGCUGUCACUUAUAGAUGGAUCCGCGCCGUAUUAGCUAGUUGGUAAGGUAACGGCUUACCAAGGCAACGAUACGUAGCCGACCUGAGAGGGUGAUCGGCCACACUGGAACUGAGACACGGUCCAGACUCCUACGGGAGGCAGCAGUAGGGAAUCUUCCGCAAUGGGCGAAAGCCUGACGGAGCAACGCCGCGUGAGUGAUGAAGGUCUUCGGAUCGUAAAACUCUGUUAUCAGGGAAGAACAAACGUGUAAGUAACUGUGCACGUCUUGACGGUACCUGAUCAGAAAGCCACGGCUAACUACGUGCCAGCAGCCGCGGUAAUACGUAGGUGGCAAGCGUUAUCCGGAAUUAUUGGGCGUAAAGCGCGCGUAGGCGGUUUUUUAAGUCUGAUGUGAAAGCCCACGGCUCAACCGUGGAGGGUCAUUGGAAACUGGAAAACUUGAGUGCAGAAGAGGAAAGUGGAAUUCCAUGUGUAGCGGUGAAAUGCGCAGAGAUAUGGAGGAACACCAGUGGCGAAGGCGACUUUCUGGUCUGUAACUGACGCUGAUGUGCGAAAGCGUGGGGAUCAAACAGGAUUAGAUACCCUGGUAGUCCACGCCGUAAACGAUGAGUGCUAAGUGUUAGGGGGUUUCCGCCCCUUAGUGCUGCAGCUAACGCAUUAAGCACUCCGCCUGGGGAGU